CACCAUCUGGCUUCCAACCCCACAUCCCAUUGAGACUAUUCUCGUCAAGAUUACUGCUAUCUUCCAAUAUGCCCAAUCAACUGACCUAUUUUUAGCUCCAUCCUAGGUGAACUUUCUGCAGCAUUGGAUGUGGAUACAGGCCCAAGUUCCAAGAGCACGUGCUAGAUGGCUGCAACCCUCAUAAUGGAACUGCAUCCAGCAAACCUGUCCGGGCAGACACUGAUUCCCGAGCUCAAAAUGUGUCUCUUGCCACCCAGAUACAGGGCCUGCCUUUGACUUGCCCAUAGUCUUCUUGGAGAAGUGCCAGACACAGGGAUUCAACAUCUUAAGGAGCCAAAGAAAAGAGCUGGUGUCAAAGCACCCAGUACUCUUGAAAUGUCAUGCAGAUACAAGCUACUGAUAAUGUCAUAUACGUUAUUAUCAUUUAAUCAGAAUUAAAUAUAAACCCGAGAUAUUAACCCCAUAUUUUGGCUUUUAUUAAUAUCAAAGCAGCAUUUAAAGUUGAACACAGGCUCACAAAACCCUGGCAGAGUCAGGACUGAUAUGGUCCUCACCAACUUUAGGAAUCUGGAGUUUUUUGGGGGCAUGUUAAGAUUUUCCUUUAACGUCUUCAUGGGUAGAGAAGCAAGCAUUGCUAUGUUCUGAGCUUUAGGAUUAGAAAAACACGAAACUCUCUAGCAAUUUCUAAAUGAAGUCAAAUUGGUUCAGUUUCUGAACAUCUAGACCAUCUUACUCCAGACGUGGCAUCCAUUGACAACAGCAGUCCGUAAGCUCCACCACAGUUUUGAAGGAAGGGAAAAAGAAGGGCUCUGCAUUUCAGGCUCUGCUGCCUUCCAGAACAUCUACC
Long non-coding RNA from Meriones unguiculatus (Mongolian gerbil), 847 nucleotides. RefSeq lists it as uncharacterized. The transcript is spliced from 3 exons. NCBI's taxonomy places the organism in Eukaryota, Metazoa, Chordata, Mammalia, Rodentia, Muridae. The record is from RefSeq and is a predicted model, not a curated record.